This 699-nucleotide ribosomal RNA is filed under the name uncultured bacterium. RNAcentral describes it as "bacterial SSU rRNA". It matches the Rfam family "Bacterial small subunit ribosomal RNA", at positions 138 to 857 of the family's 1533-position model. The record is from RNAcentral.
CACGGAUAACAUACCGAAAGGUAUGCUAAUACGGGAUAAUAUAUUUGAGAGGCAUCUCUUAAAUAUCAAAGGUGAGCCAGUACAGGAUGGACCCGCGUCUGAUUAGCUAGUUGGUAAGGUAACGGCUUACCAAGGCAACGAUCAGUAGCCGACCUGAGAGGGUGAUCGGCCACAUUGGAACUGAGACACGGUCCAAACUCCUACGGGAGGCAGCAGUGGGGAAUAUUGCACAAUGGGCGAAAGCCUGAUGCAGCAACGCCGCGUGAGUGAUGAAGGCCUUCGGGUCGUAAAACUCUGUCCUCAAGGAAGAUAAUGACGGUACUUGAGGAGGAAGCCCCGGCUAACUACGUGCCAGCAGCCGCGGUAAUACGUAGGGGGCUAGCGUUAUCCGGAUUUACUGGGCGUAAAGGGUGCGUAGGCGGUCUUUCAAGUCAGGAGUGAAAGGCUACGGCUCAACCGUAGUAAGCUCUUGAAACUGGGAGACUUGAGUGCAGGAGAGGAGAGUGGAAUUCCUAGUGUAGCGGUGAAAUGCGUAGAUAUUAGGAGGAACACCAGUUGCGAAGGCGGCUCUCUGGACUGUAACUGACGCUGAGGCACGAAAGCGUGGGGAGCAAACAGGAUUAGAUACCCUGGUAGUCCACGCUGUAAACGAUGAGUACUAGGUGUCGGGGGUUACCCCCUUCGGUGCCGCAGCUAACG